CGCUGACUCUCACAUUCACUCACCCACGCGGAAGGGGCCGGGCGCGAAGCACUUCGGGAAGGACCAGGUGUGUUUUAUGAAUCGCUGAAUGGAGGUGUGAAAAGAGCAACGUGAGAAUGAGGCUAAAGGAAGAAAAGACAGCUGGGCCAGGUGGCCUUAGGACACUAGGAAUUCACAGGUGUGUAUAUCCAAGAGCAGCUGUUAGAGACAUCAAGGGCAGAAAAGAACAAGACCAAGAAAGACCAAGCAGUAAAGGAGCCUUAAGAUUCAACUCAGAGUCUAGAGGGGGAAGCAGACAUUUUCAGCAGCCAUCCAGGAAGUGAGAAAGGUAUUUUAAGAACAAGUUGAUGAAAGUCAAAUAAUACAUGGAUUGCUUAAGCCAAUCCUUCAGACAGAAUAAAAAUUUCAAAUUAAAGAGAAAAAACUGGAUUUUCUGGAUUCUACCAGGACUAAGUGCCCCAAAGUCAGCUGAAAGGUAUGUUCUUGCUAUUAAA
This is a long non-coding RNA of Hipposideros armiger (great roundleaf bat), 494 nucleotides long. RefSeq lists it as uncharacterized. The record is from RefSeq and is a predicted model, not a curated record. Lineage: Eukaryota; Metazoa; Chordata; Mammalia; Chiroptera; Hipposideridae. The transcript has 3 exons.